Molecule: ribosomal RNA, 350 nt
Filed under: uncultured bacterium
Lineage: Bacteria
Description: bacterial SSU rRNA
Rfam family: Bacterial small subunit ribosomal RNA
Source: RNAcentral
GAGAUAGAUUGGUGCCUUCGGGAACAUUGAGACAGGUGCUGCAUGGCUGUCGUCAGCUCGUGUCGUGAGAUGUUGGGUUAAGUCCCGUAACGAGCGCGACCCUUGUCCUUAGUUACCAGCACGUAAUGGUGGGCACUCUAAGGAGACUGCCGGUGACAAACCGGAGGAAGGUGGGGAUGGCGUCAAGUCAUCAUGGCCCUUACGGCCUGGGCUACACACGUGCUACAAUGGUCGGUACAGAGGGUUGCCAAGCCGCGAGGUGGAGCUAAUCCCACAAAACCGAUCGUAGUCCGGAUCGCAGUCUGCAACUCGACUGCGUGAAGUCGGAAUCGCUAGUAAUCGCGAAUCAG